GCCUUUGUGGCGUAGUGGUCAGCACACUCGAUGCGUAUUCGAGAGGUCCGUGGUUCGAUUCCUGGCAAAGGCU
This 73-nucleotide transfer RNA is filed under the name Stegodyphus mimosarum. It matches the Rfam family "tRNA". Rfam says of the family: Transfer RNA (tRNA) molecules are approximately 80 nucleotides in length. Their secondary structure includes four short double-helical elements and three loops (D, anti-codon, and T loops). Further hydrogen bonds mediate the characteristic L-shaped molecular structure. tRNAs have two regions of fundamental functional importance: the anti-codon, which is responsible for specific mRNA codon recognition, and the 3' end, to which the tRNAs corresponding amino acid is attached (by aminoacyl-tRNA synthetases). tRNAs cope with the degeneracy of the genetic code in two manners: having more than one tRNA (with a specific anti-codon) for a particular amino acid; and 'wobble' base-pairing, i.e. permitting non-standard base-pairing at the 3rd anti-codon position. The record is from Rfam by way of RNAcentral. Lineage: Eukaryota; Metazoa; Arthropoda; Arachnida; Araneae; Eresidae.